This 28-nucleotide non-coding RNA is filed under the name Mus musculus (house mouse). Lineage: Eukaryota; Metazoa; Chordata; Mammalia; Rodentia; Muridae. The record is from RNAcentral.
UGACUGGUAUGCCUACAGGCACUUGUAA